CACGUAGGCACCAAGCGUUGUCCGGAUUUAUUGGGCGUAAAGAGCUCGUAGGCGGUUCGGUAAGUCGGGUGUGAAAACUUUGGGCUCAAUCCAAAGCGUGCACUCGAUACUGCCAUGACUAGAGUUCGGUAGGGGAGUGGGGAAUUCCUAGUGUAGCGGUGAAAUGCGCAGAUAUUAGGAGGAACACCGGUGGCGAAGGCGCCACUCUGGGCCGAAACUGACGCUGAGGAGCGAAAGCGUGGGUAGCAAACAGG
This 254-nucleotide ribosomal RNA is filed under the name uncultured bacterium. RNAcentral describes it as "partial 16S ribosomal RNA". It matches the Rfam family "Bacterial small subunit ribosomal RNA", at positions 524 to 776 of the family's 1533-position model. The record is from RNAcentral.